Molecule: transfer RNA, 87 nt
Filed under: bacterium
Lineage: Bacteria
Also listed under: 1 other name
Description: tRNA-Ser
Rfam family: tRNA
About the family: Transfer RNA (tRNA) molecules are approximately 80 nucleotides in length.
Source: RNAcentral
GGAGGGGUGCGCCGAAUUGGUAAGGCAGUGGAUUUGAAAUCCACCGGGGCAUUGCGCCCCUUAGGGGUUCGAGUCCCCUCCCCUCCG